This 626-nucleotide unclassified non-coding RNA is filed under the name Hevea brasiliensis (rubber tree). The record is from RNAcentral. Lineage: Eukaryota; Viridiplantae; Streptophyta; Magnoliopsida; Malpighiales; Euphorbiaceae.
GUCGGAGUUGCAUUCUUCGAGCCGGUGAGAUUGAACGCCGCCGGACAACUAAGGGAGGUAAUCUGAUGAAGACGAAUACCACAGAAACACAAAACGGCGUCACAUGUACCAUUAGGUUGGGGGAGAUGGAUAUUACGGCUCUGAAGAGAAUUCUGAAGCGUAUUAACGCAUUUCUGCGAGUCAUCCGGCAUCAUCGGCAAAUCGGAACUUGCAGGUGCAGCCGACCCUGAAACUUGCAAAGCUGAACGCGCGUGAGCCGCGAAUAACCAAGCCGCCAGUACAGGACAGCAACGGCUUCGGUCCAGGUUCUGACCGCACGCCGCGCUAACUCCACCAAAUAACUCGUCGGACAAAUCCAACCGGCAUAUCUGUGACUCAGUCUGAACCGGAAAAGCUGGAACAGUGUUAGAACCGUAAUCACCCGGCUUCAAUGGCUGCGCCGGUUCUGCAAGUAACCCAGCAAACGAACUUUUACACAUACAAAGCAGCGUCAAAAGUAACGUAAAAAGUCUGAUUUUCAACUCGACUCUCAUUUUCUCUGUAGAAAAAAAAAAACGAAGGCAAAAUGAUUUGGAAGUUGAAGCGAACUUUUGUUUACUUUAUUCCCCCCUUUUUCUCAGUGUUUU